UAUUUUAACUCAGUCUAACUC
This is a non-coding RNA of Caenorhabditis elegans, 21 nucleotides long. Lineage: Eukaryota; Metazoa; Nematoda; Chromadorea; Rhabditida; Rhabditidae. The record is from Ensembl.